CAACUUGAGAGUUUGAUCCUGGCUCAGAACGAACGCUGGCGGCAGGCCUAACACAUGCAAGUCGAGCGGGCCCUUCGGGGUCAGCGGCGGACGGGUGAGUAACGCGUGGGAACGUGCCUU
RNAcentral lists this non-coding RNA (120 nucleotides) under Oceanicella actignis. RNAcentral describes it as "Bacterial small subunit ribosomal RNA". It matches the Rfam family "Bacterial small subunit ribosomal RNA", at positions 1 to 132 of the family's 1533-position model. Lineage: Bacteria; Pseudomonadati; Pseudomonadota; Alphaproteobacteria; Rhodobacterales; Paracoccaceae. The record is from Rfam by way of RNAcentral.